This 467-nucleotide ribosomal RNA is filed under the name uncultured bacterium. RNAcentral's name for it is "partial 16S ribosomal RNA". It matches the Rfam family "Bacterial small subunit ribosomal RNA", at positions 28 to 506 of the family's 1533-position model. The record is from RNAcentral.
GACGAACGCUGGCGGCGUGCUUAACACAUGCAAGUCGAACGGAAAGGCCCUGCUUUUGUGGGGUGCUCGAGUGGCGAACGGGUGAGUAACACGUGAGUAACCUGCCCUUGACUUUGGUAUAACUUCAGGAAACUGGGGCUAAUACCGUAUAUGAGCUCCUGCUGCAUGGUGGGGGUUGGAAAGUUUCGGCGGUUGGGGAUGGACUCGCGUCUUAUCAGCUUGUUGGUGGGGUAGUGGCUUACCAAGGCUUUGACGGGUAGCCGGCCUGAGAGGGUGACCGGCCACAUUGGGACGGAGAGACGGACGAGACUACUACGGGAGGCAGGAGUGGGGAAUAUAGCACAAAGGGCGGAAGGAUGAUGCAGCAACGCCGCGUGCGGGAGGACGGACUUAGGGUGGUAAACCGCGUUCGCCUGGGACGAAGCGUGAGGGAAGGUAAUGGGUAAAGAAGCACCGGCAAAUUACGU